Molecule: long non-coding RNA, 2574 nt
Organism: Ictalurus punctatus (channel catfish)
Lineage: Eukaryota; Metazoa; Chordata; Actinopteri; Siluriformes; Ictaluridae
Source: Ensembl
UGUUUAGUCUGUGUCUAGAACUAGCUUUAGAUGUUUAGUCUAGAACUAACUUUAGAUGUUUAGUCUAGAACUAGCUUUAGAUGUUUAGUCUGUGUCUAGAACUAGCUUUAGAUUUUUAGUCUGUGUCUAGAACUAGCUUUAGAUGUUUAGUCUAGAACUAGCUUUAGAUGUUUAGUCUGUGUCUAGAACUAGCUUUAGAUGUUUAGUCUGUGUCUAGAACUAGCUUUAGAUGUUUAGUCUGUGUCUAGAACUAGCUUUAGAUGUUUAGUCUGUAACUAGCUUUAGAUGUUUAGUCUGUGUAUAGAACUAGCUGUAGAUGUUUAUUCUGUGUAUAGAGCUAGCUGUAGAUGCUUAGACUGUACCUAUAUUUAUUCUCUGUAUGGAGUUGGCGCUGAACUGUCUCUGGGUCUAGGACAUGUUCUCUGUCAGAAUCUGUCUCUAGAAGCAAGAGGCAUCCCAAAAUGCAAUGUAAUAAAAUGUAAUGCUUCAACUACAGUGAGCAUGUUGUAUGCAGAGCCUAUAUUCCUCCUGAAGCUGACAAGUCCAUAAUUUCAGAUUUAUAUUCCGAAGCACCACAUCAAUUUGUUUAGAGAUAUAUACAAGAUAGUGAUGGUUUCACCUCCUUUCAGAUUUUGGUGUCAGCAAGGUGUCAGAUCGAGUCUUCAGUAAAAAGGAUUAUCAAUCUGCUGAUUUCUGCUUUCCACUCGUCUUGGCCUGUGAGGUUAUUAUGCAUUCCUGCACUUGGUGCAAAAACACAGCCGCUCAGGUGUUACUUUAAUCUAAACCUAUCAGAGUCUUUCCAUACAAGCACAGUUGCUCAUUUGACCUUGCCUGUCUUCUCCUUUCUGUUUUGCAGGGUGAAACUACGCAUGAAGCAUGGAGUCUCACAUUAACCUUCAGUACAACAUGACGUUCAACAAGCGGCACAUUCAAGUCUCACACACACACACACACACACAUACACACACAGUCACACACUUUCAGUCCGUACAGGGCCAUUUGGUGUUGCUGAUACCUGUGUAGCUUCUAUUGCUUAAAGUCAAAAAGUAGCAUUUAACAUUUGAUAUGUAGUAAAACAAAUUGGAUUUUGCGCAUUGACAAAGAGAGCAAAUGCUGUUUGCCUUGUUCCCAGUUAUAGAUUGAUCAAACCCUGCAUCACUCACUUUUUUCUGUCCGCUUUUAUUUCUGAUAACGGUUUUGAAUUCUCGUUUUAUAAUCUGACUGUUUUUCCGAUGUUUUUUUUUUUUUUUUUAUACAGCAUGAAUAGAAAUAACCUCAGACGUUCUAGUAGCGUAAACCUCGUUUCGACAGCAUCAGUCGCAAAGACUCGAGAAUCACUGAGCAUGGUUUGGAAUUAUAUACAGUCGGCUAAUCUGCUUGAAGAUCUGCGUGAUGGCCAUUGGCUCUGACAAGCUUCCAGCUCCACCACUGACACCAGCAUGCAGAGCUUUGCCUCAUGUUCCAACUCACACCUAAUGGAAUGUGAAGAGCUUAAGAGCAGAACCGGCAAGGAAGCUACCGUCAGUGUGUCCAGCGUAGUCAGCCUCUCUUUCUUUCCCUCGUCUUCUCCACCAGCGCACCAGCUCGGACUAAUUAAGGCCUGCCCAUGAACCAACAUGUACCUGUCAGCAUGUAGCUGUUUCUACAAACUCAAUGACUUUGGGGAGAAAUUAGUUUGAAUUCCAGCUAAGCUUGAACAAAUUGCAAAGUGGUUCACGAGACACACCCAGGUUUCUCUUUGACCUGACAGUAUUAUGUCGAGAAACGUUUUUAAUGAUUACACAGAGAACUGUCAUACUGUGGGAGGGAAUCUAUAAUGAAUCUCGAAUGCUGUUUUCAUAUGGUUCUUGAUACUUGGAACACGUUCAGUGCCAAAUAAAUUGAUCGAGUGUUUUGGGAUUAAUUGUGCCAGUCAGUUAUUAUGAACAUGCUUUAAAUAAUAAAAUGAUUUGUCAUUAAAAUCUCGUCUGCUAUUGUGAUCAACUUAUAACUAUGUAGUCUAACAUUCUGACAUAUGCUCAAAUCCACUGUAUUCUCUUUAACGGUUCAGUAGAGGCACGAGGCAGCACGGUUUGUAUCCCAGCUCUCAAAACAAUUAUGUCUCUUUAAAUACCCUUUCUAUCGCCAGCGGCCAUCCCUGUGGCUCGGACGAUCGCUUAAAGUUUAAUGACGCCAGCUUCAGGGAAGCCUUUAUUUCCCUUCCACUUGUGUUUGUCCCAUGAUUUGCUAAAAUUUAACAUCCAGCAAGUGCACUGGGAUUAAUAAAAAGGAAACAGCAGAUUUUAACCGCUUCAGUAAGUCAAAGUCUAGUUCUGAACAUUUAAUUCAGGUCUAGACCAGGUUUUAGCCAGGUCUUUCCAGCUAAAUUUGAAUAUUUUCUUUGGGUCUAGAUAUGUUUUUGUAUAUUUGUCUGGUAACUAGAACUGGAUUUUGACUUUUACUUUGGGUCUAGAUAUUACAACUUUUUAUGCUUUUUAACCAUUUAUAGCUACAUUUAAUAUUGUGGAACAUCCAUGAAGCAAGUCAUCACAUUAUACAGUAGUGGUUAUAAACAGCACCAGCUUCUUUAUUUUU